This 585-nucleotide ribosomal RNA is filed under the name uncultured bacterium. Its description in RNAcentral is "bacterial SSU rRNA". It matches the Rfam family "Bacterial small subunit ribosomal RNA", at positions 284 to 859 of the family's 1533-position model. The record is from RNAcentral.
UAGCUGGUCUGAGAGGAUGAUCAGCCACACUGGAACUGAGACACGGUCCAGACUCCUACGGGAGGCAGCAGUGAGGAAUAUUGCGCAAUGGGGGCAACCCUGACGCAGCAACGCCGCGUGAGUGAGGAAGGUUUUCGGACCGUAAAGCUCUGUCGAGCGGGAAGAAAUGCAUGGUGGCUAAUAUCCAUCAUGCUUGACGGUACCGCUAAAGGAAGCACCGGCUAACUCCGUGCCAGCAGCCGCGGUAAUACGGGGGGUGCGAGCGUUGUUCGGAAUUAUUGGGCGUAAAGAGCGUGUAGGCGGCCGAAUAAGUCAGAUGUGAAAUCCCUGGGCUUAACCCAGGACGUGCAUUUGAAACUAUUCGGCUAGAGUAGGGGAGAGGAAAGUGGAAUUCCUGGUGUAGAGGUGAAAUUCGUAGAUAUCAGGAGGAACACCGGUGGCGAAGGCGACUUUCUGGCCCUAUACUGACGCUGAGACGCGAGAGCGUGGGUAGCAAACAGGAUUAGAUACCCUGGUAGUCCACGCUGUAAACGAUGUUCACUAGGUGUUGGGGGUAUUGACCCUCUCAGUGCCGCAGCUAACGCA